This 73-nucleotide transfer RNA is filed under the name Spirochaetota bacterium. Its description in RNAcentral is "Spirochaetes bacterium (freshwater sediment metagenome) tRNA-Lys". It matches the Rfam family "tRNA". From Rfam's summary of the family: Transfer RNA (tRNA) molecules are approximately 80 nucleotides in length. Their secondary structure includes four short double-helical elements and three loops (D, anti-codon, and T loops). The record is from RNAcentral. Lineage: Bacteria; Pseudomonadati; Spirochaetota.
GGGUUGCUAGCUCAACUGGUAGAGCAACUGACUCUUAAUCAGUAGGUCCGGGGUUCGAGUCCCCGGCAACCCA